Molecule: ribosomal RNA, 253 nt
Filed under: uncultured bacterium
Lineage: Bacteria
Description: partial 16S ribosomal RNA
Rfam family: Bacterial small subunit ribosomal RNA
Source: RNAcentral
UACAGAGGUCCCGAGCGUUGUUCGGAUUUACUGGGCGUAAAGGGUGCGUAGGCGGUCGGAUAAGUUCGAUGUGAAAUCUCCAAGCUUAACUUGGAAAAUGCAUUGAAUACUAUUUGGCUAGAGUGUUGAAGAGGAGACUGGAAUUCUCGGUGUAGCAGUGAAAUGCGUAGAUAUCGAGAGGAACACCAGUGGCGAAGGCGAGUCUCUGGGCAACCACUGACGCUGAGGCACGAAAGCUAGGGGAGCAAACAGG